Molecule: ribosomal RNA, 253 nt
Filed under: uncultured bacterium
Lineage: Bacteria
Description: partial 16S ribosomal RNA
Rfam family: Bacterial small subunit ribosomal RNA
Source: RNAcentral
UACAGGGGGUGCAAACGUUGCUCGGAAUCAUUGGGCGUAAAGCGCACGUAGGCGGUUCGUUAAGUCGGAUGUGAAAGCCCUCGGCUCAACUGAGGAAGUGCACCCGAAACUGGCGAGCUUGAGUACGAAAGAGGAUCGCGGAAUUCCCGGUGUAGAGGUGAAAUUCGUAGAUAUCAGGAGGAACACCAACAGCGAAGGCAGAUCUCUGGGACGUUACUGACGCUGAGACGCGAAAGCGUGGGGAGCAAACAGG